RNAcentral lists this unclassified non-coding RNA (147 nucleotides) under uncultured Exobasidium. Its description in RNAcentral is "sequence contains ITS1". Lineage: Eukaryota; Fungi; Basidiomycota; Exobasidiomycetes; Exobasidiales; Exobasidiaceae. The record is from RNAcentral.
UUGAAUUGUAAAAUGGAGAGUCGCUUUCGAGCACUCUUCUACAUUCUUUAUUCCUAAACACCUGUGAAUCGUUGCUGAGUUCGCUCAGUGGCACCAUUUAUACACACACUUUAUAGUUUUGAACGUAAAAAACAAAAAACAAAAAUA